RNAcentral lists this unclassified non-coding RNA (227 nucleotides) under Hevea brasiliensis (rubber tree). Lineage: Eukaryota; Viridiplantae; Streptophyta; Magnoliopsida; Malpighiales; Euphorbiaceae. The record is from RNAcentral.
GGAUGAACUCACUAAGACUUCUGAGAAACAAGUCAAGGGAAACCAAUAGCAGUAUGAGAAUUCUUAUGCAGAUGUAAACCAAGAAAUUUGAAAAGCAUAGUUGUAUUGCUAUGUCUGCAUAUAGACCUUGUGCUAAUGACACAUGCACAAUAAUGCACAAAUAACAGAGACACCAAAACAAUACUCUUACACUAGAAAUAUGAAUUACAUGUAGAUGCACUGCUCAU